RNAcentral lists this ribosomal RNA (674 nucleotides) under Enterococcus sp. RNAcentral describes it as "bacterial SSU rRNA". It matches the Rfam family "Bacterial small subunit ribosomal RNA", at positions 51 to 698 of the family's 1533-position model. The record is from RNAcentral. Lineage: Bacteria; Bacillati; Bacillota; Bacilli; Lactobacillales; Enterococcaceae.
UAUCAUGCAGUCGAACGCUUCUUUCCUCCCGAGUGCUUGCACUCAAUUGGAAAGAGGAGGGGGGACGGGUGAGUAACACGUGGGUAACCUACCCAUCAGAGGGGGAUAACACUUGGAAACAGGUGCUAAUACCGCAUAACAGUUUAUGCCGCAUGGCAUAAGAGUGAAAGGCGCUUUCGGGUGUCGCUGAUGGAUGGACCCGCGGUGCAUUAGCUAGUUGGUGAGGUAACGGCUCACCAAGGCCACGAUGCAUAGCCGACCUGAGAGGGUGAUCGGCCACACUGGGACUGAGACACGGCCCAGACUCCUACGGGAGGCAGCAGUAGGGAAUCUUCGGCAAUGGACGAAAGUCUGACCGAGCAACGCCGCGUGAGUGAAGAAGGUUUUCGGAUCGUAAAACUCUGUUGUUAGAGAAGAACAAGGACGUUAGUAACUGAACGUCCCCUGACGGUAUCUAACCAGAAAGCCACGGCUAACUACGUGCCAGCAGCCGCGGUAAUACGUAGGUGGCAAGCGUUGUCCGGAUUUAUUGGGCGUAAAGCGAGCGCAGGCGGUUUCUUAAGUCUGAUGUGAAAGCCCCCGGCUCAACCGGGGAGGGUCAUUGGAAACUGGGAGACUUGAGUGCAGAAGAGGAGAGUGGAAUUCCAUGUGUAGCGGUGAAAUGCGUAGAUAUA